GCGGACGGGUGAGUAACACGUGGGUAACCUACCUAUAAGACUGGGAUAACUUCGGGAAACCGGAGCUAAUACCGGAUAAUAUUUAGAACCGCAUGGUUCGAUAGUGAAAGAUGGCUUUGCUAUCACUUAUAGAUGGACCUGCGCCGUAUUAGCUAGUUGGUAAGGUAACGGCUUACCAAGGCAACGAUACGUAGCCGACCUGAGAGGGUGAUCGGCCACACUGGAACUGAGACACGGUCCAGACUCUACGGGAGGCAGCAGUAGGGAAUCUUCCGCAAUGGGCGAAAGNCUGACGGAGCAACGCCGCGUGAGUGAUGAAGGUCUUCGGAUCGUAAAACUCUGUUAUUAGGGAAGAACAAAUGUGUAAGUAACUAUGCACGUCUUGACGGUACCUAAUCAGAAAGCCACGGCUAACUACGUGCCAGCAGCCGCGGUAAUACGUAGGUGGCAAGCGUUAUCCGGAAUUAUUGGGCGUAAAGCGCGCGUAGGCGGUUUUUUAAGUCUGAUGUGAAAGCCCACGGCUCAACCGUGGAGGGUCAUUGGAAACUGGAAAACUUGAGUGCAGAAGAGGAAAGUGGAAUUCCAUGUGUAGCGGUGAAAUGCGCAGAGAUAUGGAGGAACACCAGUGGCGAAGGCGACUUUCUGGUCUGUAACUGACGCUGAUGUGCGAAAGCGUGGGGAUCAAACAGGAUUAGAUACCCUGGUAGUCCACGCCGUAAACGAUGAGUGCUAAGUGUUAGGGGGUUUCCGCCCCUUAGUGCUGCANNNAACGCAUUAAGCACUCCGCCUGGGGAGUACGACCGCAAGGUUGAAACUCAAAGGAAUUGACGGGGAUCCGCACAAGCGGUGGAGCAUGUGGUUUAAUUCGAAGCAACGCGAAGAACCUUANCAAAUCUUGACAUCCUUUGACCCUUCUAG
This 918-nucleotide ribosomal RNA is filed under the name Staphylococcus sp. DBT25. RNAcentral describes it as "bacterial SSU rRNA". It matches the Rfam family "Bacterial small subunit ribosomal RNA", at positions 98 to 1003 of the family's 1533-position model. Lineage: Bacteria; Bacillati; Bacillota; Bacilli; Caryophanales; Staphylococcaceae. The record is from RNAcentral.